AUUGAACGCUGGCGGCAGGCCUAACACAUGCAAGUCGAGCGGAUGAAGGGAGCUUGCUCCUGGAUUCAGCGGCGGACGGGUGAGUAAUGCCUAGGAAUCUGCCUGGUAGUGGGGGAUAACGUCCGGAAACGGGCGCUAAUACCGCAUACGUCCUGCGGGAGCAAGUGGGGGAUCUUCGGACCUCACGCUAUCAGAUGAGCCUAGGUCGGAUUAGCUAGUUGGUGGGGUAAAGGCCUACCAAGGCGACGAUCCGUAACUGGUCUGAGAGGAUGAUCAGUCACACUGGAACUGAGACACGGUCCAGACUCCUACGGGAGGCAGCAGUGGGGAAUAUUGGACAAUGGGCGGAAGCCUGAUCCAGCCAUGCCGCGUGUGUGAAGAAGGUCUUCGGAUUGUAAAGCACUUUAAGUUGGGAGGAAGGGCAGUAAGUUAAUACCUUGCUGUUUUGACGUUACCAACAGAAUAAGCACCGGCUAACUUCGUG
Molecule: ribosomal RNA, 484 nt
Filed under: uncultured bacterium
Lineage: Bacteria
Description: partial 16S ribosomal RNA
Rfam family: Bacterial small subunit ribosomal RNA
Source: RNAcentral